RNAcentral lists this ribosomal RNA (225 nucleotides) under uncultured bacterium. Its description in RNAcentral is "partial 16S ribosomal RNA". It matches the Rfam family "Bacterial small subunit ribosomal RNA", at positions 1267 to 1500 of the family's 1533-position model. The record is from RNAcentral.
GCGGAUCUCGAAAGCCUGUCCCAGUUCGGACUGGAGUCUGCAACCCGACUCCACGAAGUUGGAUUCGCUAGUAAUCGCGCAUCAGCCAUGGCGCGGUGAAUACGUUCCCGGGCCUUGUACACACCGCCCGUCAAGCCAUGGGAGCCGGGGGCGCCUGAAGUCCGGGACCGCGAGGACCGGCCUAGGGCGAAACUGGUAACUGGGGCUAAGUCGUAACAAGGUAGC